UUCCAGGGGGAGUUGGUGGAGUUCCAGGUGGAGUUGGUGGAGUUCCAGGAGGAGUUGGUGGAUUUCCAGGGGGAGUUGGUGGAGUUCCAGGAGGAGUUGGUGGAGUUCCAGGUGGAGUUGGUGGAGUUCCAGGAGGAGUUGGUGGAUUUCCAGGGGGAGUUGGUGGAGUUCCAGGGGGAGUUGGUGGAGUUCCAGGAGGAGUUGGUGGAGUUCCAGGUGGAGUUGGUGGAGUUCCAGGAGGAAUUGGAGGAGUUAAACCGCCUAAAGUUUACAGCGGUACAGGUGGAACUGGAGCUCUUGGAGUUGGAGGUGUAGGUGGAAUGGGUCCAGCUGGAACAGGAGGAGCUGGACUUCUGCCUGGAGGUGGUGGUUUACUACCAGGAGGUGGAGAUGAAUAAAGUGUACUUAACAUUUACAUAAGAAUGUAAUUAGCUUGUGCCUUAGCUUGUGGGUUUGUAAAUCUAUUGUAGGUUAUGGAGGAGCUGGAGGUUUAGGAGCCGGUGGGAUCCAACCAGGGACUGGUAAAUAUUUUUCAGAUUAAAACAAAACACCACAUUCCUGAUAUUUUAUGU
RNAcentral lists this long non-coding RNA (572 nucleotides) under Sinocyclocheilus grahami. Its description in RNAcentral is "lncRNA (ENSSGRG00000046708.1)". The record is from RNAcentral. Lineage: Eukaryota; Metazoa; Chordata; Actinopteri; Cypriniformes; Cyprinidae.